This 253-nucleotide ribosomal RNA is filed under the name uncultured bacterium. RNAcentral describes it as "partial 16S ribosomal RNA". It matches the Rfam family "Bacterial small subunit ribosomal RNA", at positions 524 to 776 of the family's 1533-position model. The record is from RNAcentral.
UACGAGUGCCUCAAGCGUUAUCCGGAAUCAUUGGGCGUAAAGGAUGUGUAGGUUGUCAUAUUAGUCUUCUGUUAAAGCUCCCGGCUUAACCGGGAACCUGCAGAAGAAACGGUAUGGCUAGACGGUGCAAGGGGUCUACGGAACUCAUAGUGUAGCGGUGAAAUGCGUUGAUAUUAUGGGGAACACCAAAAGCGAAGGCAGUAGACUGGGGCACUCGUGACACUGAAACAUGAAAGCGUGGGUAGCGAAUGGG